GCAUAUCAAUAAGCGGAGGAAAAAGAGAACCAACCGGGGAUUGCCUCAGUAACGGCGAGUGAAGCGGCAAGAGCUCAAAAUUUGAAAUCUGGCCCCUUCGGGGUCCGAGUUGUAAUUUGCAGAGGAUGCUUCGGAUGCGGCCCCUGUCUAAGUGCCCUGGAACGGGCCGUCGGAGAGGGUGAGAAUCCCGUCUGGGAUGGGGUGUCCGUGUCCGUGUGAAGCUCCUUCGACGAGUCGAGUUGUUUGGGAAUGCAGCUCUAAAUGGGUGGUAAAUUUCAUCUAAAGCUAAAUACUGGCCGGAGACCGAUAGCGCACAAGUAGAGUGAUCGAAAGAUGAAAAGCACUUUGAAAAGAGAGUUAAACAGCACGUGAAAUUGUUGAAAGGGAAGCGCAUGCGACCAGACUCGCUCGCGGGGUUCAGCCGGCAUUCGUGCCGGUGUACUUCCCCGCGGGCGGGCCAGCGUCGGUUUGGGCGGCCGGUCAAAGGCCCCCGGAAUGUAUCACCUCUCGGGGUGUCUUAUAGCCGGGGGUGCAAUGCGGCCAGCCUGGACCGAGGAACGCGCUUCGGCACGGACGCUGGCAUAAUGGUCGUAAGCGACCCGUCUUGAAACACGGACCAAGGAGUCUAACAUCUACGCGAGUGUUCGGGUGUCAAACCCGUACGCGCAGUGAAAGCGAACGGAGGUGGGAGCUUCGGCGCACCAUCGACCGAUCCUGAUGUCUUCGGAUGGAUUUGAGUAAGAGCGUAAAUGUGGGGACCCGAAAGAUGGUGAACUAUGCCUGAAUAGGGUGAAGCCAGAGGAAACUCUGGUGGAGGCUCGCAGCGGUUCUGACGUGCAAAUCGAUCCGUCAAAUUUGGGUAUAGGGGCGAAAGACUAAUCGAACCAUCUAGUAGCUGGUUCCUGCCGAAGUUU
This 914-nucleotide ribosomal RNA is filed under the name Aspergillus parvulus. Its description in RNAcentral is "LSU rRNA". It matches the Rfam family "Eukaryotic large subunit ribosomal RNA", at positions 38 to 969 of the family's 3401-position model. The record is from RNAcentral. Lineage: Eukaryota; Fungi; Ascomycota; Eurotiomycetes; Eurotiales; Aspergillaceae.